Molecule: ribosomal RNA, 253 nt
Filed under: uncultured bacterium
Lineage: Bacteria
Description: partial 16S ribosomal RNA
Rfam family: Bacterial small subunit ribosomal RNA
Source: RNAcentral
UACGUAGGGUGCGAGCGUUGUCCGGAAUUAUUGGGCGUAAAGGGCUCGUAGGCGGUUUGUCGCGUCGGGAGUGAAAUCCACUGGCUUAACUGGUGGCUUGCUUUCGAUACGGGCAGACUGGAGGUAUGCAGGGGAGAACGGAAUUCCUGGUGUAGCGGUGGAAUGCGCAGAUAUCAGGAGGAACACCGAUGGCGAAGGAAGGUCUCUGGGCCAUAACUGACGCUGAGAAGCGAAAGCAUGGGGAGCGAACAGG